GGGGGCAGGAUGUGAGGGUGACAGUUGUGGGGCAGGAUGUGAGGGUGACAGUGGCGGGUGGCAAAAUGUGAGGGUGACAGUGUGGGAUGACAGUAUGUGUCACCCUCACAUUCUGCCCCCCACACUGUCACCCACACAUCCUGCCCCCCACCACUGUCACCCUCACACUGUCAUUGUCAUCCUCACAUACUGCCUCUCACCAGUCACCCUUACACCCUGCCCCCCCACUGUCACUCUGACACUGUCACCCUCACACCCUGCCCCCCA
Molecule: non-coding RNA, 267 nt
Organism: Pelobates cultripes (western spadefoot toad)
Lineage: Eukaryota; Metazoa; Chordata; Amphibia; Anura; Pelobatidae
Source: the annotation of a GenBank genome assembly